UUCGCAAUGCCCGAAAGGGUGAACGAGCGACGCCGCGUGCGGGAUGAAGGCCUUCGGGUUGUAAACCGCUUUUGCAAGGGAAAAACUUAAUGAUGGUACCUUGCGAAUAAGAGGUUACUAACUCUGUGCCAGCAGUAGCGGUAAUACAGGGACCUCAAGCAUUAUCCGGAUUUAUUGGGCGUAAAGCGCGUGUAGGCGGAUGGGAACGUCGGUCUUUGAAAGCCCCCGGCUCAACCGGGGAAGCGGAGCCGAAACGACCGAUCUGGAGGGACGUAGGGGGACCUGGAACUUCCGGUGGAGCGGUGAAAUGCGUUGAGAUCGGAAGGAACGCCCGUGGCGAAAGCGAGGUCCUGGACGUCUGCUGACGCUGAGACGCGAAAGCUAGGGGAGCAAACGGGAUUAGAUACCCCGGUAGUCCUAGCCGUAAACGAUGGGCACUAAGUAGAGGGGUUUU
RNAcentral lists this ribosomal RNA (454 nucleotides) under uncultured bacterium. Its description in RNAcentral is "bacterial SSU rRNA". It matches the Rfam family "Bacterial small subunit ribosomal RNA", at positions 364 to 832 of the family's 1533-position model. The record is from RNAcentral.